This 550-nucleotide ribosomal RNA is filed under the name Petaloptila andreinii. RNAcentral describes it as "eukaryotic LSU rRNA". It matches the Rfam family "Eukaryotic large subunit ribosomal RNA", at positions 1457 to 1948 of the family's 3401-position model. Lineage: Eukaryota; Metazoa; Arthropoda; Insecta; Orthoptera; Gryllidae. The record is from RNAcentral.
GUAGUAGCAAAUACUCUAGCGAGGGCCUGGAGGGCUGAUGUGGAGAAGGGUUUCGUGUGAACAGCCGUUGCACACGAGUCAGUCGAUCCUAAGCCCUAGGAGAAAUCCGAUGUAUCGGGCCGUCGGCCCGGUCGGGCGAAAGGGAAUCCGGUUCCUAUUCCGGAACCCGGUCGCGGAACCGUCUCACGUCGGGCCCCCCGCUCCACCCCCUCAAAAGGGUGUUUAGCGGGAAGCUCGUCGGGGUAACCCAAACUGACCCGGAGAAGCCGUCGGGAGGUCGGGGAAGAGUUGUCUUUUCUGUUUGAGCGUUCGGGUUCCCUGGAAUUGCCUAGCGCAGAGAUAGGGAAUGGAGCGCGUAGAGCACCGCAGUUGCGGCGGUGUCCCGACAUGCCCUUCGGACCUUGAAAAUCCGGGGACGGGCCACGUGGAGGUGUCGCGCCGGUUCGUACCCAUAUCCGCAGCAGGUCUCCAAGGUCAAGAGCCUCUAGUCGAUAGACUAAUGUAGGUAAGGGAAGUCGGCAAAUUGGAUCCGUAACUUCGGGAUAAGGAU